CAGUCGCCGCGGGAAUACGGAGGGUGCAAGCGUUAAUCGGAAUUACUGGGCGUAAAGCGCACGCAGGCGGUCUGACAAGUCAGAUGUGAAAUCCCCGGGCUUAACCUGGGAACUGCAUUUGAAACUGUCAGGCUGGAGUCUUGUAGAGGGGGGUGGAAUUCCAGGUGUAGCGGUGAAAUGCGUAGAGAUCUGGAGGAAUACCGGUGGCGAAGGCGGCCCCCUGGACAAAGACUGACGCUCAGGCGCGAAAGCGUGGGGAGCAAACAGGAUUAGAUACCCCGGUAGUCCCUGUCUCUUAUAC
This 301-nucleotide ribosomal RNA is filed under the name uncultured bacterium. Its description in RNAcentral is "partial 16S ribosomal RNA". It matches the Rfam family "Bacterial small subunit ribosomal RNA", at positions 509 to 807 of the family's 1533-position model. The record is from RNAcentral.